AUUGAACGCUGGCGGCAGGCCUAACACAUGCAAGUCGAACGGUAACAGGAAGAAGCUUGCUUCUUUGCUGACGAGUGGCGGACGGGUGAGUAAUGUCUGGGAAACUGCCUGAUGGAGGGGGAUAACUACUGGAAACGGUAGCUAAUACCGCAUAACGUCGCAAGACCAAAAAGGGGGACCUUCGGGCCUCUUGCCAUCGGAUGUGCCCAGAUGGGAUUAGCUAGUAGGUGGGGUAACGGCUCACCUAGGCGACGAUCCCUAGCUGGUCUGAGAGGAUGACCCGCCACACUGGAACUGAGACACGGUCCAGACUCCUACGGGAGGCAGCAGUGGGGAAUAUUGCACAAUGGGCGCAAGCCUGAUGCAGCCAUGCCGCGUGUAUGAAGAAGGCCUUCGGGUUGUAAAGUACUUUCAGCGGGGAGGAAGGGAGUAAAGUUAAUACCUUUGCUCAUUGACGUUACCCGCAGAAGAAGCACCGGCUAACUCCGUG
Molecule: ribosomal RNA, 490 nt
Filed under: uncultured bacterium
Lineage: Bacteria
Description: partial 16S ribosomal RNA
Rfam family: Bacterial small subunit ribosomal RNA
Source: RNAcentral